CAGCAGUCGCGGUUAUACGUAGGAGNCUAGCAUUAAUCAGUAUAGGCCUAAAGCAUACGCAGAUGAUAUAAUAAUAAUUAUAUUAGAAUUUAUAUAUAAAGAUAUAUCAAUUGUAAUAGGAACGAUAAUAUGUUAUGAUAAUUACAAGAGUGUCAAAAGUGAAGACAUAUAUCCAAUAUAAAUUGACAUUAAGGUAUGAAAGCUAAAGUAGCGAAAUGGAAUAGUAACCCAAGUAGUUUUAGCAGUAAACGAUGAAUGUAAUUUAAUUAAUAAUAAUAAUUAAUUAAAUAGACGAAGGUUUUAACAUUCCGCCUGAUGAGUACGUACGCAAGUAUGAAAUUCAAGACAUUAGACGGUUAUAAACAUAAGCAGUGGAGUAUGUUAUUUAAU
Molecule: ribosomal RNA, 390 nt
Filed under: Sporopachydermia lactativora
Lineage: Eukaryota; Fungi; Ascomycota; Sporopachydermiomycetes; Sporopachydermiales; Sporopachydermiaceae
Description: partial small subunit ribosomal RNA
Rfam family: Bacterial small subunit ribosomal RNA
Source: RNAcentral